ACGUGGCUAACCUGCCCUUGGGACAGAGACAACCCCGGGAAACUGGGGCUAAUCCCUGAUAGGUGAAGAACUCUGGAAUGAGUCUCCGCCCAAAAGGCGCUUACAUCAUGCUUGUAGGCGUCGCCCAAGGAUGGGGCCGCGACCGAUCAGGUUGUUGGCUGAGGUAACGGCUCACCAAGCCAUUGACCGGUACGGGCCGUGAGAGCGGGAGCCCGGAGAUGGGCACUGAGACAAGGGCCCAGGCCCUACGGGGCGCAGCAGUCGCGCAAACUUUGCAAUACACGAAAGUGUGACAGGGCUAUCCCGAGUGCCGCCCGCUGAGGGUGGCUUUUACUCAGUAUAACAAGCUGGGAGAAUAAGGAGAGGGCAAGACUGGUGUCAGCCGCCGCGGUAAUACCAGCUCUCCGAGUGGUGUGGACGUUUAUUGGGCCUAAAGCAUCCGUAGCUUGCUGAAGAAGCCCUCUGUUAAACCCAACGAAUUAAUCGUUGGAGUGCGGGGGAUACUGCUCGGCUUGGAGGCGAUAGAGGCAGACGGUAUUCCCGGGGUAGGAGUGAAAUCCUAUAAUCCCGGGAAGACCACCAGUGGCGAAGGCUGUUUGCUAGAACGCGCUCGACGGUGAGGGAUGAAAGCUGGGGUAGCGAACCGGAUUAGAUACCCGGGUAGUCCCAGCUGUAAACGAUGCAGGCUAGGUGUUUGGGCGGCUACGUGCCGCUCUAGUGCCGCAGGGAAGCCGUUAAGCCUGCCGCCUGGGGAGUACGAUCGCAAG
This 767-nucleotide ribosomal RNA is filed under the name uncultured archaeon. RNAcentral's name for it is "bacterial SSU rRNA". It matches the Rfam family "Archaeal small subunit ribosomal RNA", at positions 98 to 847 of the family's 1478-position model. The record is from RNAcentral.